RNAcentral lists this ribosomal RNA (521 nucleotides) under Thaumatobactron guentheri. Its description in RNAcentral is "eukaryotic LSU rRNA". Lineage: Eukaryota; Metazoa; Arthropoda; Insecta; Phasmatodea; Phasmatidae. The record is from RNAcentral.
UACGUGAAACCGUUCAGGGGUAAACGGGAGAAAUCCUGAAUUCGAAUGGGGUUGGAUUCAAGUCCAUCCGGUCUGCAUAACAGUCUGCCAGUCACCAGAUGGUGCUGGGCGCCCGCGGCGAUUCAUUUCGUUUGUGGUGUCGUUCCUGGCGAUCACUCGGUGAGUUGGCCCUGAAAUCUGGCAACGGAGGAGUGCAAUUCCCCCCUAGUAGAAACGUCGCGACCCGUUGGGUGCCGGUCUAAGGCUUGGGAUGUUAGACCGUGCGUCCUGUGGGGGUUCUCACAGGCGUGUGGACUCUCGAUGACCCGGCCGGCUGCCCGACGGUAUGACCAGAGGAGUCGAUCCGCUGAAUGGGAAACACUAUGGUUGUGAAGCGUCCGGCCUGGUGCCGAUGCGUGCGGGGAUUGAGGUGUAAACCGGGGGAGCCUGUGCGAAGCACAGUCCCGGCCCUGCUGCGUGUUUGGUGCCAGUGUCCUCGGACUGGAUCUGUACUUCCGUCUGCGACGCCCAUCUUCGGAUGG